CUUUGAUGAAGUUUUCGGAUGGAUUUAAAACAGCUUAGUGGCGGACGGGUGAGUAACGCGUGGGUAACCUGCCUCACACUGGGGGAUAACAGUUGGAAACGACUGCUAAUACCGCAUAAGCGCACAGCUUCGCAUGAAGCAGUGUGAAAAACUCCGGUGGUACAAGAUGGACCCGCGUCUGAUUAGCCAGUUGGCGGGGUAACGGCCCACCAAAGCGACGAUCAGUAGCCGGCCUGAGAGGGUGAACGGCCACAUUGGGACUGAGACACGGCCCAAACUCC
Molecule: ribosomal RNA, 281 nt
Filed under: uncultured Eubacteriales bacterium
Lineage: Bacteria; Bacillati; Bacillota; Clostridia; Eubacteriales
Description: uncultured Clostridiales bacterium partial 16S ribosomal RNA
Rfam family: Bacterial small subunit ribosomal RNA (bases 43-281)
Source: RNAcentral